AGUGAACGCUGGCGGUAGGCCUAACACAUGCCAGUCGAACGGCAGCACAGUAAGAGCUUGCUCUUACGGGUGGCGAGUGGCGGACGGGUGAGGAAUACAUCGGAAUCUACUUUUUCGUGGGGGAUAACGUAGGGAAACUUACGCUAAUACCGCAUACGACCUACGGGUGAAAGCAGGGGAUCUUCGGACCUUGCGCGAUUGAAUGAGCCGAUGUCGGAUUAGCUAGUUGGCGGGGUAAAGGCCCACCAAGGCGACGAUCCGUAGCUGGUCUGAGAGGAUGAUCGGCCACACUGGAACUGAGCCACGGUCCAGACUCCUACGGGAGGCAGCAGUGGGGAAUAUUGGACAAUGGGCGCAAGCCUGAUCCAGCCAUACCGCGUGGGUGAAGAAGGCCUUCGGGUUGUAAAGCCCUUUUGUUGGGAAAGAAAAGCAGCAGGUUAAUACCCCGCUGUUCUGACGGUACCCAAAGAAUAAGCACCGGCUAACUUCGUG
Molecule: ribosomal RNA, 492 nt
Filed under: uncultured bacterium
Lineage: Bacteria
Description: partial 16S ribosomal RNA
Rfam family: Bacterial small subunit ribosomal RNA
Source: RNAcentral